This 75-nucleotide transfer RNA is filed under the name Stieleria bergensis. Its description in RNAcentral is "Planctomycetes bacterium SV_7m_r tRNA-Val". It matches the Rfam family "tRNA". Rfam says of the family: Transfer RNA (tRNA) molecules are approximately 80 nucleotides in length. Lineage: Bacteria; Pseudomonadati; Planctomycetota; Planctomycetia; Pirellulales; Pirellulaceae. The record is from RNAcentral.
GGGCGAUUGGCUCAGUUGGUUAGAGCGCUGCUUUCACACGGCAGAGGUCACAGAUUCGAAUUCUGUAUCGCCCAC